UGGAUAGGCUACUGAAUACAGAAGUAGAUAGAAUGACCAAUCACAAAUGACUACUAUCCAGCCAAACGCAAUGCCCGUUAUUGUGUUACCUAGCAACAUAACCUAAACAAACCUGUGUAAUUUUCUCUACAUUUUGUGUGGUUAGUUCAGAAAUGUUGUAACUAAGUGCCCUUGGUUAGUUAACUUGAGCGGGAAAAGUAGUUUUGUCAUUUUCACCCUAACCAGGUUGUCAGGCUUCCUAUAAUGGCUGGAACAACCUUUUGCGAUGUGUCUGAGCUUUGCAACAUUCUUAAUCAGUACACUCGCCUGUCCAGACUACCAAAGUUAAACUACCUCUGUUUGAUUGAUGCUCGUGCUAAAGGACAGUACAAUGCCAGCCAUAUCAUCACUGCCAGAAAUACAAAAUAGGUAUGAGUGUCAAAUCAGUCAUUAACACAGUACAAAACAGCUCAUCCCACCUUAGGUUCAAAAUACUCUGCUUCAAUUAAGUUGCAAUGUUCAAUAGGGGCGGCAGGUUGGGCCAGUAACCGAAAGAUAGAAUCCCUGAGCUGACCAUGUAAAAUCUGUCGUUCUGCCCCUGAUCAAGGCAGUUAACCCACUGUUCCCCAGUAGGCCAUCAUUGUAAAUAAGAAUUUGUUCUUAACUGACUUACUUGCCUUGUUAAAUAAAAGUUCAAUUUAAUAAAAUAGAAAAUAGUUGAGAUGGAAUCUAAAGGCAAAUUCAUUAUGCUUGUGGAGGUGGAGAGUAUGAGGAAUAUUGUGGUUUAUGACAUGAUGAAUGAAAAAUAAUACUUUUUGUAUGUGUUUGACUAGUUUCAAUUAAGCUCUGUGUCAGGUUAAAGUAAAUUAAUCUCAACCGUUUUUAAUUGAAUAGAAACGGCUUGUCAAUUUUAUUUUUCCUUUAUUUAACUAGGCAAGUCAGUUAAGAACAAAUUCUUAUUUUCAAUGACAGCCUAGGGACAGUGGGUUAACUGCCUUGUUCAGGGGAAGAACCACAAAUUUUUACCUCAUCAACUCUGGGAUUUGAUCUUGCAACCUUUCGGUUACUAGUCCAACGAUCUAACUACUAGGCUACCUGCCGCCCCAAUGAUUGACAAUGAUAUUAAAUCCAUGAUAUCCCAUCAGAGAGAUAUGUAAGAAUGGUGUGUGUGUGUGUUAGGCUAUGGAAGGCCCUGACAAAAUCAAACCGCUAUCCUGUCCAGAUUCUGAAAGGAGGCUAUCGGGUUCUCAGCCUUGCAUCCUUUCUUUAAAACACAGAAAAUCCUUUACACAAUAAAGGUAACACCUCCAUUGCUCCAAACAUUUGCUUCAUAUUGUGAGAAUCUGUUGAGAAAUUGCUAAACACACUCAGGUGAUAAGUCUUUCAAAGUUGUGAUUUGCAUAGAUUGUUCUGCUGUCUGUUUCGUUCAUGUGAAUGUAGGAAUUGGAGAGCUUGAGGCCUUAUAAAGUAGAGCUCUUGCCAGGUCAACUCUACCUAGGCGAUUACAAGCAGGCUAUCAGUCCCCACGUCCUAAAAGACCUAAAACUGAGCGCACUUGUUAAUGUCUCUGAAGACACUAGUCAUGUGUGUGAGGACUCGUAUUUACAUGCCAAAGGAGCAUGUCCUAAAUAGUUGUUUAAAUAAAAUGUUUUUCUUUUGAAAUUAGGUUGGGAAAAGGAAACCACACCAUCCGUCACAUUAAUGUGGCAGAUUCUGUGGAGACUGAUGUACUCCAGUUUUGAGAGGAUAUGUGUUUUCAUUGGUAGGCUGCAUGUAUUUUCUUCCACUUUUUAUACUGAACAAAAAUAUAAACGCAACAUGCAACAAUUUCAAAGAUUUUACUGAGUUACAGUUCUUUUAAGGAAAUCAGUCAAUUGAAAUAAAUUCAUUAGACCUGAUCUAUGGAUUUCACAUUACUGGGCAGAGGCGCAGCCAUGAGUGGGUAAGCCCACCCACUUGGGGGCCAGGCCCACCCACUGGAGAGCCAGGCCCAGCCAAUUAGAAUGAGUUUUUCUUAAGUGCUUUAUUACAUACAG
This is a long non-coding RNA of Oncorhynchus mykiss (rainbow trout), 2015 nucleotides long. RefSeq lists it as uncharacterized. NCBI's taxonomy places the organism in Eukaryota, Metazoa, Chordata, Actinopteri, Salmoniformes, Salmonidae. The record is from RefSeq and is a predicted model, not a curated record.